Molecule: long non-coding RNA, 1255 nt
Filed under: Scleropages formosus (Asian bonytongue)
Lineage: Eukaryota; Metazoa; Chordata; Actinopteri; Osteoglossiformes; Osteoglossidae
Description: lncRNA (ENSSFOG00015026452.1)
Source: RNAcentral
AAGCAGCUCGCCAGCAUUUUGACUGACAUCCCAAACUCUAUGAGCUGCCACCCUGCAUCCAAAGACUCUCCAACCUUGCCCGACUUCUCAGCCACAGAUAUGGGUUUCUACAGAGGACAGACGGGCAAGGUUGGAGAGUCUUUGGAUGCAGGGUGGCAGCUCAUAGAGUUUGGGAUGUCAGUCAAAAUGCUGGCGAGCUGCUUUUCAAAAGCUGGUCCACUCAUUAUUGGUCGCACAGCAUCUCCUCCUUCCUGAAAGCAGACGGUCCGAGUGUGCAGUAGAUAGAGAAGGGGAAAGAGCAGUAAAGCAGGACCAAAUCCUUCAAAAAACUUCUCUGGUGAAAUUCUCUGUGCAGAACUGCAUGCACUGGGGCAGCACCCAGCCGAGUAAAACUCUUCGUUAUCGAACACUGGGUGGAUUCUCUCUUCCUUUCGGCCCAGAAGAAGCCCCCCCCCCCCCCCGGUAAAACAGCUCUGUGUCUCCUCCCCUGCUUCAAGCACACAGCACACACAGCAGCACACACACACCAUCUUGCUGGUGCAAUAAUUUACUGGAAUUAUUGCCUUUCUAUCUAAGGUAAAUUCGUGUUCACCCGUAAGAUGCACAUUUGGUUUGCGUUGAGCAUACAACUGUAAUUGAGCAUAACGCUUUUUGGAAAAGGAGCCAAAGUAUCAUUCUGCCGACACAUUAUUUAUAUUAGUGGGAUGACCUUUUCAGUGUGAGUCACCCUGCUACCAUGGCCUUCCUAUGUUGAGUUCAUUGUCUGUGACUUGAUAUGUCUCCGGAACCUAUUCCCUCGGUCUAAGAGCUCGGAACAGAGUUCCGGUGGUGUUGUUGAACUCUGUUUUCUCUGAGCAUAUUCGGUGGAACCUGAUGAGCUGGGACUUGAUCAAUCCUUGGAAGGUGCGUUUGGGCUGGAAGCUGGAUUUGUGCGGUAGACAGUGUGUGUCAGUGCUUUUAAAGUAAACCUUGGUCUCGAGUGUUUUUAAAGCCACCUUGAGGUUUACUGUAAUGGACUGUGGUGUCCAGGAAGUUUACUUCCUGUGUGUCUCAGUGUUGUUUUAUUGUUAUUUUGGAGUGGUGUGUAUGUGUUCAUGAGUGUGGUGAAUGUGUCAAAAUCCUCGUGGCCAUGGUGCCAGACCCUGAAAAUGUCACCCAGGUAUCUGUAGCACUGGAGUGGUCUGUUUGGGCAUUUCAUAAAUAGAGUUUCCUCCCAGUCUGCCAUGUAGAUGUUAGCAUAGGCCAGGGCAAGUUU